RNAcentral lists this unclassified non-coding RNA (295 nucleotides) under uncultured Nitrospiraceae bacterium. Its description in RNAcentral is "contains 16S-23S intergenic spacer region". Lineage: Bacteria; Pseudomonadati; Nitrospirota; Nitrospiria; Nitrospirales; Nitrospiraceae. The record is from RNAcentral.
UCCACGUUAUCCGCGGCAGUCUCCUGAGAGUCCUCCCUUGCGGGUAGCAACACAGGAUGGUAUUGCUACCUCGUUGGGCUUUCACCCUUCUACUACCUGCAUGUCCAGCCUGGGUAAGGUUCUUCGCGUUGCGUCGAAUUAAACCACAUGCUCCACCGUUUGUGCGGGCCCCCGUCAAUUCCUUUGAGUUUCAACCUUGCGGCCGUACUUCCCAGGCGGAAUACUUAAUGCGUUAGCUGCGGCACCGGCGGUAAACCGCCGACACUUAGUAUUCAUAGUUUAAGGCGUGGACUAC